UACGGAGGGGACUAGCGUUGUUCGGAAUUACUGGGCGUAAAGCGCACGUAGGCGGAUUUGUAAGUCAGGGGUGAAAUCCCGGGGCUCAACCUCGGAACUGCCUUUGAUACUGCAAAUCUCGAGUCCGGAAGAGGUGAGUGGAAUUCCUAGUGUAGAGGUGAAAUUCGUAGAUAUUAGGAAGAACACCAGUGGCGAAGGCGGCUCACUGGUCCGGUACUGACGCUGAGGUGCGAAAGCAUGGGGAGCAAACAGG
Molecule: ribosomal RNA, 253 nt
Filed under: uncultured bacterium
Lineage: Bacteria
Description: partial 16S ribosomal RNA
Rfam family: Bacterial small subunit ribosomal RNA
Source: RNAcentral